GUGGGGAAUUUUGGACAAUGGGCGAAAGCCUGAUCCAGCCAUGCCGCGUGCAGGAUGAAGGCCUUCGGGUUGUAAACUGCUUUUGUACGGAACGAAAAGACUCCUUCUAAUAAAGGGGGUCCAUGACGGUACCGUAAGAAUAAGCACCGGCUAACUACGUGCCAGCAGCCGCGGUAAUACGUAGGGUGCAAGCGUUAAUCGGAAUUACUGGGCGUAAAGCGUGCGCAGGCGGUUUUGUAAGACAGGCGUGAAAUCCCCGGGCUCAGCCUGGGAAUGGCGCUUGUGACUGCAAAGCUGGAGUGCGGCAGAGGGGGAUGGAAGUCCGCGUGUAGCAGUGAAAUGCGUAGAUAUGCGGAGGAACAGCGAUGGCGAAGGCAAUCCCCUGGAGCUGUACUGACGCUCAUGCACGAAAGCGUGGGGAGCAAACAGGAUUAGAAACCCUUGUAGUCC
This 450-nucleotide ribosomal RNA is filed under the name uncultured bacterium. RNAcentral's name for it is "bacterial SSU rRNA". It matches the Rfam family "Bacterial small subunit ribosomal RNA", at positions 354 to 796 of the family's 1533-position model. The record is from RNAcentral.